GUCCCGGUAGCUCAGAUGGAUAGAGCGAUUGCCUCCUAAGCAAUAGGUCGAGGGUUCGACUCCCUUCCAGGACGCCA
This 77-nucleotide transfer RNA is filed under the name Acholeplasmatales bacterium. Its description in RNAcentral is "tRNA-Arg". It matches the Rfam family "tRNA". Rfam says of the family: Transfer RNA (tRNA) molecules are approximately 80 nucleotides in length. Their secondary structure includes four short double-helical elements and three loops (D, anti-codon, and T loops). Further hydrogen bonds mediate the characteristic L-shaped molecular structure. tRNAs have two regions of fundamental functional importance: the anti-codon, which is responsible for specific mRNA codon recognition, and the 3' end, to which the tRNAs corresponding amino acid is attached (by aminoacyl-tRNA synthetases). tRNAs cope with the degeneracy of the genetic code in two manners: having more than one tRNA (with a specific anti-codon) for a particular amino acid; and 'wobble' base-pairing, i.e. permitting non-standard base-pairing at the 3rd anti-codon position. Lineage: Bacteria; Bacillati; Mycoplasmatota; Mollicutes; Acholeplasmatales. The record is from RNAcentral.